Molecule: ribosomal RNA, 463 nt
Filed under: Haptophyta environmental samples
Lineage: Eukaryota; Haptophyta
Description: SSU rRNA
Rfam family: Eukaryotic small subunit ribosomal RNA
Source: RNAcentral
GCGCGUAAAUUGCCCGAAUCCUGACACAGGGAGGUAGUGACAAGAAAUAACAAUACAGGGCUUCUAAAGUCUUGUAAUUGGAAUGAGUACAAUUUACAUCUCUUCACGAGGAUCAAUUGGAGGGCAAGUCUGGUGCCAGCAGCCGCGGUAAUUCCAGCUCCAAUAGCGUAUAUUAAAGUUGUUGCAGUUAGAACGCUCGUAGUCGGAUUUCGGGGCGGGUCGACCGGUCUGCCGAUGGGUGUGCACUGGCCGACGCGUCCUUUUUUCCGGAGACCGUCUCACUCUUAACUGAGCGGAGGCGGGAGACGGAAUUUUUACUUUGAAAAAAUCAGAGUGUUUCAAGCAGGCAGCUCGCUCUUGCAUGGAUUAGCAUGGGAUAAUGAAAUAGGACUUUGGUGCUAUUUUGUUGGUUUCGAACACCGAAGUAAUGAUGAGAAGGGACAGUCAGGGGCACUCGUAUUCC